Molecule: ribosomal RNA, 253 nt
Filed under: uncultured bacterium
Lineage: Bacteria
Description: partial 16S ribosomal RNA
Rfam family: Bacterial small subunit ribosomal RNA
Source: RNAcentral
UACGGGGGGGGCAAGCGUUGUUCGGAAUUACUGGGCGUAAAGGGCUCGUAGGUGGCCAACUAAGUCAGACGUGAAAUCCCUCGGCUUAACCGGGGAACUGCGUCUGAUACUGGAUGGCUUGAGUUCGGGAGAGGGAUGCGGAAUUCACGGUGUAGCAGUGAAAUGCGUAGAUAUCGUGAGGAACACCAGAGGCGAAGGCGGCUACCUGGACAAUUGCUGACGCUCAGGCACGAAAGCGUGGGGAGCAAAAGGG